This 120-nucleotide ribosomal RNA is filed under the name uncultured bacterium. RNAcentral's name for it is "partial 16S ribosomal RNA". It matches the Rfam family "Bacterial small subunit ribosomal RNA", at positions 796 to 918 of the family's 1533-position model. The record is from RNAcentral.
CGCACAGUAAACUAUGGAUACUCUCUGCCGGCGAUAUAUUGUCGGUGGCCAAGCGAAAGCGUUAAGUAUCCCACCUGGGGAGUACGUUCGCAAGAAUGAAACUCAAAGGAAUUGACGGGG